UAAAAGAAAAAAAACAAACAAACCAAAACCCUCUCUCUAUUCUGGCUCGAAGGCCCAGUCUUUCCCCUCCCCUCUUUCUUCCCCCGGCCCACUUCCUCCGCCCGAGCCCAGCGCGCUGCGCGGCCCAGCGGCCAGCUCUCUGCGCGUCGAUCUCCCCCUCUCACUGGCACGCUGGCCCCGCCAUCUGUGUCACUGCCACUCUGGGCCCGCUUAGCGGCGACCCUUCUCUUCUUCCUCCUGGCGUCGGGUUUGACUGGGACUUUCCCAGAGGAAACCGAUCCCGAGUACUCGGGAUUUCCCUCGCCCUUGCCAAUCCGAGCACCUAUAAGAACCCCCUGACACCACCGCGUCCACCCUUUUUCUCUCUAUGCACCAAGAAGUUGUCUACCCCUACCUCGGUCUCGCGUUUGGAUCUUGCCGUGAGCGGAGAACGCCGCCGCCGUGGAACUUUCUGUCCAUGGCCGUGUCAACAAAAUUGAUACUGUACCGAGCUUCAGACAAAGGUGACAAACAUGCCGAGCCCUUCCUUUUACUCUCUAGCGUGAUCUUUUGCUCUUAAAUCUCGCCGAACCUUCUGCAAGAGCACCGAGCCGCCAUCCCGCGUGGGUUGCCCAACUUCGAGCUUUUCCCGGACACGUUUAGGCCCC
RNAcentral lists this long non-coding RNA (647 nucleotides) under Sorghum bicolor (sorghum). Its description in RNAcentral is "long non-coding RNA (SBIC_LNC008803)". The record is from RNAcentral. Lineage: Eukaryota; Viridiplantae; Streptophyta; Magnoliopsida; Poales; Poaceae.